CGAACGCUGGCGGCGUGCUUACCACAUGCAAGUCGAACGGCAAGGCCCUGCUUUUGUGGGGUGCUCGAGUGGCGAACGGGUGAGUAACACGUGAGUAACCUGCCCUUGACUUUGGGAUAACUUCAGGAAACUGGGGCUAAUACCGGAUAGGAGCUCCUGCUGCAUGGUGGGGGUUGGAAAGUUUCGGCGGUUGGGGAUGGACUCGCGGCUUAUCAGCUUGUUGGUGGGGUAGUGGCUUACCAAGGCUUUGACGGGUAGCCGGCCUGAGAGGGUGACCGGCCACAUUGGGACUGAGAUACGGCCCAGACUCCUACGGGAGGCAGCAGUGGGGAAUAUUGCACAAUGGGCGGAAGCCUGAUGCAGCAACGCCGCGUGCGGGAUGACGGCCUUCGGGUUGUAAACCGCUUUCGCCUGUGACGAAGCGUGAGUGACGGCAAUGGGUAAAGAAGCACCGGCUAACUACGAG
Molecule: ribosomal RNA, 466 nt
Filed under: uncultured bacterium
Lineage: Bacteria
Description: partial 16S ribosomal RNA
Rfam family: Bacterial small subunit ribosomal RNA
Source: RNAcentral